GCGUGCAUUAGGCAUGCAAGUGGAACGAACUGACUUCGGUUAGUAAGUCGCGAACGGCUGAGUAACACGUAGGAAUCUAUCCCUUGGCGGGGAAUACCUGCUCGAAAGAGUAGUUAAUACCGCAUAAGAUUUAACAAUGAAAGGACGUAACUGUCCACCGAGGGAGGAGCCUGCGGCCCAUCAGCUAGUUGGUAGGGUAAAAGCCUACCAAGGCUACGACGGGUAGGGGGCGUGAGAGCGUGUUCCCCCAGAAAGGCACUGAGACACGGGCCUUACACCUACGGGUGGCAGCAACCGGGAAUCGUGCGCAAUGGACGAAAGUCUGACGCCGCGACGCCGCGUGAGGGAUGAAGGCCUUAGGGUCGUAAACCUCUUUUGCCAGAAGGGAGACCGACUGGAGAAUAAGCACCCGCUAACUACGUGCCAGCAGCUGCGGUAAUACGUAGGGUGCAAGCGUUGUCCGGAUUUAUUGGGCGUAAAGAGUUCGUAGGCUUCCUAGUAAGUUAUGUUUCAAAGACCGGGGCUCAACCUCGGAAAGGGGCAUAAUACUGUUAGGAUUGAAGGAUGUCGGGGUUACUGGAAUUGUCGGUGUAGGGGGUGAAAUCCGUUGAUAUCGACAAGAACACCAAGGGCGAAGGCGGGUAACUAGGCAUUUCUUGACGCUGAGGAACGAAAGCUAGGGGAGCGAAAGCGAUUAGAGACCGCUGUAGUCCUAGCCGUAAACGAUGCUCGCUAGGGAUGGGGGAUUUAUUUUUCCGUCUCGUAAGCUAACGCGUUAAGCGAGCCGCCUGGGGAGUACGGUCGCAAGACUAAAACUCAAAGGAAUUGACGGGGACCUGCACAACCAGUGGAGCAUGUGGUUUAAUUCGAGACGAACCGAAGAACCUUACC
This 891-nucleotide ribosomal RNA is filed under the name uncultured bacterium. RNAcentral's name for it is "bacterial SSU rRNA". It matches the Rfam family "Bacterial small subunit ribosomal RNA", at positions 42 to 975 of the family's 1533-position model. The record is from RNAcentral.